UAUUUGCUAAGCUACUACAGUUUGUUUGGGGAUGAAAAUUACAUGCAAAAUAGAAAUACCAGCAUCUUCACUGUAUAAUCUUACCUUAAUUUUCUCACUCAUGAAGUUGGUAUGAGUAAUUAAUGCUCCAAAAACUUAAACUGCAUUUGUUGGUUUUGGUUCAUCCAAGAUCUUCUCAGCUAAUGACUGUACUUUUAAUGCUGUUAGUCCUGUUUUGCUUUCAAGUCCCCAGCCAUUUGGUGUGUGAUACUGUCUUUUUUGCAACUGGCAAGUCUAUUGCAGAGCUAAUCUGUUUUGAUUCAUAUCGUGGGGAUGCCACAGGAGUUGAACAGUGUCCAUUGCGAGUUGCUGUGCUUUUGUGUCUUUUACUCUGGAGAAGGAAAAUAGCUGAAUGAAGAUGAGAUGAGGGGGGGAUUCUGAGUGAUGAGGAAGGGGACUGAUUAGAGCAAGACAAAGCUGAGAUAGCAAAGAGCAGAGACGUAGGCUGUCGUGGAGUAACAUGGCUGAAGGAGUAAAUGUUGUAGAGAGAAAUGACUCAGGCUGUGCAGGCAGGACAGAGCGUUCUGUGUGAGGGCUACUGCUUGUGUCUUUCCAGCUCAGCUAGUUUGCAUUCCUUGCAGCCAGAGGGUGGAGAGGAUAUUGAGAAGAAAGAGGUGAUAAGCCAUGAGGAAAUGCUGCCGGUGUGGAGUGUCUUGCUAUGUCUCUUCUGACUGUUGAUGGUGGGAUUCUGUUCUAUGCAUCCAAGGGUGCUCGGGGAAGCGGCCAAUGUUAUUGCAAGGCCACUUUGAAAGGCCACAGUAAUCAGGAGAGAGUUCUGGUGACUGAAAAAGGGCAAACAUCAUAUGCUUGUUCAAGAAGGAUAAGAAGAAGGACUGGGCAACUCUGACACACUCUAUUUAGCCUGGGUCUCUGGAAGAUGAUGGUACACCUUCUUCUGGAAACUUGAAGCAUGUGAAGGACAGGAAGGUGAUUGGGAACAGCCAGCAUGGAUUUGAGAAGGGCAAUCAUGCUGAACCAACCAGAUUGCUUUCUGUGAUGAGACUGGCUCAGGGAACAAGGAGAGAGAAGUGGGUGGUGUUUGCCUUGACUUUAGCAAGGCCUUUGACAUGGUCUCUCAUAGUAUCAUCUUACCAAACUGGUGAGGUGAUUGGGUAAAUGGACUAUAAAUUGGGUGGAAAAUUGCUUGGAUUGUUGGGCUCAGAUGAUGGUGAUCAGUGGGCUAGCACACAGCGUGUACAAGAAGGGGCUGAGAAAACUGUGUUUGUUAUCACACAACAAUUUUAGAAAGAUAAAUACUUUGCUCCUCAGGGAAAUAAAUGCUGUGCUCCUUAAGAAAAAUAUAUUUAUUUUGGUGAAAAGAGCAAACCAGACUGGUUGUAGAAAGCAAGUUAAAAACAAAUAUUGAAGUUCCAGGAGGUUAUAUACAUUCUGAAGUCUUUCCAAAACCUUACAAUUUGAAAGCACUCUUUUUUUCACUGGUUUAACCACUCAUUAAUUCCAGCCCCCCUUGAAGUCCAGACAAAAUCAACAUAUCUCCAAGUUCUUGAUUAUUUCUCUGAGACACAUUUGCCACUGGAACUUAAUUCCUUGGGUGCUGGAGCUGUUUCUUCUUGUCUCAUAGUGGUAUUCUAGAAACAUGUUUUCACCUGCAUUUUUCUUUUUCAGUCUUGAGCAAAGUAACUUUAGUGGAACAUGUAAGCUUUGAUACACAGUAGGUUUUUCUAAAGCCAGAAAUUUAUGGCUAAGAAAACCCACCACAGGACUUUGACCAAGUGUGCUUGAAACAUUGUAAUUACAGAUGAUCUAGUUUCACAGCUCACAGACAAAGAAAAUGUGUUUGUUUUACUUUAUUAGAUUUCUUAUAAUGUGUUCAUACAAAACCAAAUGUGCAUGUACACAGUCUGUCAAUACUGCCAACUGCAAUUUAUUAAGUUUUAUACAUUUUUUCUCUGGGUCACUGUAUUGUUAAACAGACAUAGAAUGCAAGAUCAAUGCUAAAGAUGGGAAGGCUAAAUUUCAGAGCAAAAAAAUCUCAUUUUUCCCUUAAAAGUUUACAAGGGGCAUUUUUGAGGAAGUCUUAAUUAGUCAUAGGCUGAAAACCUCUCUUAAUACAGUUGUAUUUUUCUAACAGAAUAAGAAAAAAGAAGGUAUUUGGGCAUAAGCUGCAGCUCAUGCUGCCACUUUACUCUUCCCGGACUGCUGCAAAGCCCCUCAGUCAGUCAUUGUAAUCCAGAGCCGGAACUUGGAGCAGGUUUUGAGGAUAUAUCUUGUUGCUUUGUGAUGAACUCUGAGGCCCUGGGAAAAAUCUCUUGGUGUUGACAGCCCCUGACAGUAAAUGUCACAUGAAUUCGGAGGGAACUCAGAGCCUUCUGGUGACUGCUAUGAGAAGAGACAUGGUGACAGAAAACCUGAUUGAUGAGCCAUGCCACAAGUAGAGGGAGCGCUGUGUGGUGAUUGCCUAUAAUUGAACGGUCCACGGAAGUUAUUUCUGGGUUUCCUAUGAAUGGUGACAUACACUCCAGAAGGGUUUUCACAGGGGAGGCCUGCAGAUUUUAAUCCUGGUACUCGGCAACUCCCUGUUAAUGCAGCAUUAACAGACUUUAAAAUUUAACGGGCUGUUUUAGCUUCAAUGAAACAAACGACAACAGGAGAUGGUCAGUCAUGCAAUUACCUUUAGAAGCAUUCCUUUGUCAGCUUUUGCGGCCUCUUUUUAGUGCUUUCUCUUUGCAGCUCGGCUCUGUGAUCUGACAACCCGGAGAUGUUGAUUAUAAAGGUUCUUCCCGAUUCUGACAGUGCGCUCCUCUGACAUGGGCUUGUCGCAGCCAUGUUGAGCACAGCGGUGAUGCUCCUGGCAUUAAACGGGAAUGUGAGACGUUGUAGCCCACUCACCCAGUAAAGCAUCUGCUUGCACUGACCAAUUAAAUUGGCUUCUCUCUCAUUAAAACCCUUGUGCAGACUCUGACAUCUCCUCUGGGCCAUACUCAAAGACCCGAGCUGACUUGAACUGCUGAAUCCCUAGGGAAGAUUUCAACAGAGCUGUAAGCACUUGGACAUUAGAACCGUGCAAGGAGGAAGAGGGAGAGAAAUCCAAGCCCUCCCCCUUUCCCUUUGAAUAUGAAGGCUUCAGCAGCUGAACAAAAAGGCGUGCGACAGAGCUCUUGUAUGAUGUCCACCUCCCCUUUCUGGCAUCUGGCCUGAACAGUACAAUUGGGAAAGUCAAAUG
Molecule: long non-coding RNA, 3223 nt
Organism: Falco peregrinus (peregrine falcon)
Lineage: Eukaryota; Metazoa; Chordata; Aves; Falconiformes; Falconidae
Exons: 3
Source: RefSeq, a predicted model, not a curated record